ACAAACUUUUGGCCACCAAUAUUUCGCAUCAAACAUCAGCAAAUUCUACAAAUACACAUAUCAGAAAGUUCUUUUAUUCAGUUACAUAACCUAGAAAGGUUAAACCAAGUCAUAGAAGCUCACUUUACAUAAUGAAUAGCAUCCACCGUGUAGUUAUCAAGGGUAUUGUUCUGACUGAGAAUCAGAAAAUCAAGAAUGAUAAGCAUAAUCAACUUUGUAGAUAAGCACCAAUAAUUCCAAGGAACCCAAAACUUCCAAUACCUGAACAAUCCAAACAGCAGCAAAAUAGCAAAUGACCAUUAGUUCAACAAAUGUCAAGUACUGAAAGGCCUAAUUUUGUUGAAAUUUCUGCCAUGGUUAAAUAAAACUUCUAAUUAGAAUAUUUAGAAAAAGUUGGAAUUGUCCAGGAACAGUAAAGUAUGUAUGACACCUAAUAAAUGUAAGGUUUCAGCAGAUAUGUUUUUUUAAUAACAAUUCAGGGUUAUGAUUCAUCAAAUGGAAGGGAGACACAACAAGUUGUAAAACAGUAUCCUAAUUUGGGAACUUGAAUCUGGAACAGGCGAAACCAAGGAAGGAAUCGUCCUACCAGAGAUUCAUCAUGGACUGCCUCUUGCUGCCACCGCUGGAUCAUUUGACCCGAUACCGUCUCCUACUUUCUUCAUCCUAGCAUCCUAGCUACUCCCGAUGUGGGGCGGAGAGCCGGGGAAGGAGGAGGGAGGUGGAAGAGAGAGGAGGAGACGGCGGAGGGGAUUUUUUCACGGCUGUGGAGACGAAGGAGGAGGGAGAUGGGAUGAGACUCGCACGACCCCUCUCUCCGUGUCAGAAGAAACACAACCUUCACAGUCUCACUCCAAUCUAAACAAGGGACAGACGUGUAGGACCAGCAGAAAACAAGCCCCACCUACCAUAGGUUAUGCAGCAGGAGCGAACGUCCACACCAGCCGCAGGACGCAUGUCCCACGCACGGCGCGUGCGGCGCGGCUGGGCAAACCCUCGCACGAUCGACGCAGUGUCAGUGCAGCCCCUCUCUCACGCAGACAAAAGGUAGUCAACCCACAGAUGUGUGGGGCCAGAAAUGAGUAAGGACCACCCAAUAGUCAGAGAAAUAGACAUCCAUCGGCAUCCUCACAGCAGAAACAAACAACCCAAUGCCCGGCGCCAAACGCGCGACGUGCACGCCGCGCGCAAGAACAGGCUUCUCCCGCACUUCCAAACGGCUCACCCAGCCAGUAGACAAAAAGCACGAGCCCACCAGUCAUUCGCCCCCGAAAAACAACAGCGAGGUCAAAACGCACAAUGUAGAUCUCUGGGCCAGAAGUUCAAAGAAAUAUUAAAUUCCUUAAUGGCACGGACACACUGCACAUAACCUUCAUAACAGAUGGAGUAUUAACGGAUCGAAGCAUUGUAACAAUACCAAGUGGUCAUCAACUUAAGGUUGUUUUUACUGAGCAUUAUAUGCUUUCGUAUUAAGAAUGCUUUCGAUGAACAACAUGACGGGGAGGCACCUCGCUACUGGUUGUACUGAGCUUUUGACAAAUAGGGCGACAGGGAGGCAUGGUGCUACUGAUAGGAUAUAAGCAAUGGGAGGCCCAUUGGCAAGAAUCGCAUAGCACACUGUAGAAGAAAAAUAACCAGAGGAGACUAACUGAAGAAACCUUGACAAUGAAAAAAUAACUGCUGCAACAAAUGAAACAUUUCUAAUCAUUCCAAGUGUGGGCCUGUUUAUAUGAGCAAGAAGGAUCAGUAAAGGAAACAGCAGGUCAAGAAACAAAACCAAAAAAACUAUAGGACUGGUUAGACCUCAGGUAUAGAAUGAAAAUCCAUACUUCCAAGAACAAGAGGCUAAUAUACUUUAAGAAAAAUGAUAGUGAAACCAUGCAUUCACAAAGAAAUGGUAUGAUAGCAACUCUAUACAACCUGAUUAACUAUUUCCCUCCUAUCAAGCUACAAUUCUUAACAUGGCACAAUGGAGGAACACGACACAUUCAGGCAUCCAAUAGCUCCAAAGUCCGCGCAGAAUUAUAAUUAUAGACUGGAGGCUACCGAUUGUCAAAUUCUUUAUUAUUUUUCCAUGGCCUGUGAAAAUCUAUUGUAGUGUAGUGUCACAUUGUUGGUACAUAAAAGGAUGCUGCAAUAAUGAGAAGAGAAAUAUAUUAUAGGACUGCUAGAUGGAUAAAUCUUGAUUUGAAAUGUUAGUAGCGAAUUCAUUCUUUUGCUCAUGAUGUGAUUUCUUUUGCUAGGAUGAAUUAAUCCUGGGUAGAAUAGCAGAUGUGUGCAAGUUUGCCUAUAAUAAAUUAGUCCUGAACCAGCAGUCCAGCAAUGUAUAUAUAUAUAUAUAUAUAUAUAUAUAUAUAUUCUCAGGCAUUUUCAACAAGCAGAAGCACUUGUGAGCAUCUACAAUGAGGAGGUGACCAGUACACGAGCAAGUGGAUACCACAGCAGGAGGUGUAGACAGAUGAACAUAAUAUUUAGAUCGACCUGACCAUAACAAACUUUUGGCCACCAAUAUUUCACAUCGAACAUCUAUAAAUUCUACAAAUACACAUAUCAGAAAGUUCCUUUAUUCAGUUACAUAAUCUAGAAAGGUUAAACCAAGUCAUCGAAGCUCACCUUACAUAAUGAAUAGCAUCCACCGUGUAGUUAUCUAGGGUAUUGUUCGACUGAGAAUCAGAAAAUCUAGAAUGAUAAGCAUAAUCAACUUUGUAGAUAAGCACCAAUAAUUCCGAGGAACCCAAAACUUCCAAUACCUGGACAAUCCAAACAGCAGCAAAAUAGCAAAUGACCAUUAGUUCAGCAAAUGUCAAGUACUGAAAGGCCUAAUUUUGUUGAAAUUUCUGCCAUGAUUAAAUAAAACUUCUAAUUAGAAUAUUUAGCAAAAGUUGGAAUUGUCCAGGAACAGUAAAGUAUGUAUGACAUCUAAUAAAUGUAAGGUUUCAGCAGAUAUGUUUUUUUAAUAACAAUUCAGGGUUAUGAUUCAUCAAAUGGAAGGGAGACACAACAAGUUGUAAAACAAUAUCCUAAUUUGGGAACUUGAAUGUGGAACAGGCGAAACCAAGGAAGGAAUCGUCCUACCAUAGAUUCAUCAUGGACUGCCUCUUGCUGCCACCGCUGGAUCAUUUGACCCGAUACCGUCUCCUACUUUCUUCAUCCUAGCAUCCUAGCUACUCCCGAUGUGGGGCGGAGAGCCGGGGAAGGAGGAGGGAGGUGAAAGAGAGAGGAGGAGACGGCGGAGGGGAUUUUUUCACGGCUGGGGAGACGAAGGAGGAGGGAGAUGGGAUGAGACUUGCACGACCCCUCUCUCCGUGUCAGAAGAAACACAACCUUCACAGUCUCACUCCAACCUAAACAAGGGACAUACGUGUAGGACCAGCAGAAAACAAGCCCCACCUACCAUAGGCUAUGCAGCACGAGCGAACAUCCACACCAG
RNAcentral lists this long non-coding RNA (3427 nucleotides) under Triticum aestivum (bread wheat). RNAcentral describes it as "long non-coding RNA (TAES_LNC025476)". The record is from RNAcentral. Lineage: Eukaryota; Viridiplantae; Streptophyta; Magnoliopsida; Poales; Poaceae.